RNAcentral lists this ribosomal RNA (305 nucleotides) under uncultured bacterium. Its description in RNAcentral is "bacterial SSU rRNA". It matches the Rfam family "Bacterial small subunit ribosomal RNA", at positions 337 to 638 of the family's 1533-position model. The record is from RNAcentral.
UCCUACGGGACGCAGCAGGGAAUUUUCGUCAAUGGGCGCAAGCCUGAACGAGCAAUGCCGCGUGAACGAGGAAGGUCUUCGGAUCGUAAAGUUCUGUUGAAGGGGAAAAAGAGCGGAGAGAGGAAAUGGUCUCCGAUUGAUAUUACCCUUCGAGGAAGUCACGGCUAACUACGUGCCAGCAGCCGCGGUAAUACGUAGGUGGCGAGCGUUAUCCGGAAUGAUUGGGCGUAAAGGGUGCGUAGGCGGCCUGCUAAGUCUGGAGUGAAAGGUACCGGCCCAACCGGUACAGGCUCUGGAAACUGGCG